Molecule: long non-coding RNA, 16478 nt
Filed under: Prunus persica (peach)
Lineage: Eukaryota; Viridiplantae; Streptophyta; Magnoliopsida; Rosales; Rosaceae
Description: long non-coding RNA (PPER_LNC002727)
Source: RNAcentral
GGGGAGGCUGCGAGCAACUUCAUACAAGAAGAUCUAAAGAUGGACUAUGUGUAUGAUUACAUGUUUCAUGUGCUAAAUGAAUAUGCAAAGCUCUUGAAAUUCAAACCAACUAUACCUCCCAAUGCAAUGGAACUGUGCUCAGAAAAAAUGGCAUGCCCUGCAACUGGUACAUGUAAGAAGUUCAUGGUAGAGUCUAUGGUGGGGUCUCCAAGUGAUGAACUCCCAUGCACUCUGCCUCCUCCGUAUGAUCCUCUGGCUCUCCACGAUUUUCUUGAGAGAAAGGCUAACUCAACUAGGCAAGUGGAAGCUUGGGAAAAUGAGUAUUGGCAAAGUAUUGAAAAAAAGCAAUAGGAGCUUCUUUUUUUUCCAUGGGUUCCAUAGGCCAUGACUUAUAAUUUUAUAUGUCCUAGACUGGAAAGAAGAGAUCUGAACACAAGAAUUCAAAGCUUGCUACAAACUCAAUGUCUUUCUACUGGUAAAUAUCAACUCUGAUGGUUUGUUUCAAUGUAUUUCAUAAGUUUUACAUCAAGAAUUUUUCAAAGCUGUACAAGAAUAUUUAGAGUGCCCGCCCUUUUAUGAUUUCCAAGCUCAUCUCACUAGGGUAUGUUGCCUGCAACUCCACUUGAAUCCCAUCCAACUCCCUCUUGAAUCUGUCCUUGGAGCUUGCAUAUAUUUGUAAUAAAUUACAUUUUCUUACUUUUUUUUUGUUGUUGAGAAAUUCACUAUUAUACUCAAUAUAAGGACUUAAAUUAUAAAAAAAUCAUACAUAAAAUGGACUUUAGAAACACACCCAAAACCCAUUUACAACAUAACUAAGAGGCUUCGAACUUCCUAUAAAUUACAAAAUUGCCAUUAAUUUCAUAAAACAAGCCUAACCCCAAAACAGUCAGGCAUCAAAGUAAUUUAAUAAUCAAAAUUAAAUUCAAUAUGGCCAGCUGUCAUUUUUUGGGAUUUGUUUAUAGAAAUUAAAUAGUAUAGAGUUUAUUUAUGUCACUAGUGCUAAAAAUGGGUAUAACUAAAUAUUUUUUUUCUUCAUUUUUUAAUGAAUAAUGCUACUCUUACCAUAUUUGUAUACUACAUUUUCAUACCACCUUAUGUGGCAGAUAAAGUGGAUAACCACAUCAAUUAAAAAAUAUCAAUAAAUCAUAAAAGAAAAUAAAAUGUUAAAUUAAUUUUAAUUUAAUAGAUAUCAACUAUAAUAAUGUGGGGGACUUUCAUUUCAUGUUGCCUUUGUUCCCAAGGUAGGAGAGACUUUACACCUCAUAAUUCACUUUCUAUUAAUUUAAAAUUUAAUCAGCCCUUACCAGUACCAAUCAAUCUAUUUAAUCUAGAAUCAAGAUCUUACUGUUAUAAAAGUCUUGAAAUGGAGCCCACACAUACUGUUCAUUACUGUACAUUACUGUUCAUCACUGUUCAUUUGACGGCUUUGAUACUGUUCAUUACUGUUCAUCUGGCGGCUUUGAUAGAGUUUGUCUGUCACGGGUGAACAGUGAUGAAUAGUGAUGAAUAGUGAUUAUUUCAGCCUAUAAAUAAGAAGAGAAACGGAAAGAAGAAGAAGAAGAAAAAAGGAGAAAGGAAGAGAAGGAAGAAAGAGGAAAGAGAGAGCAGAGAGAAAUUCUCCUAGAGAGAAAAUUCAGUGAGCCACAUAUAUUGUAAACACUAAACUUGUAGCUCUAUCCUUUUACAUAGUGGAAAAGUUACUGCUGCUGCUCUCCGAGGACGUAGGCAUAGCCGAACCUCGUUAAAUGCUGUGUCUCAUCUACUUUACGUGCAGCUCAGAAUUAUCGCACAUAUCCCAGGUUAUUUUUAUAACACGUUAUCAGCACGAUAGUCUCUCCUUUUAUUUCUGAAAUUUUUCAACUAACACUUUACUUUAUGUAAUUAUUAACCAUUAACAAAAAUGGACCCUUGGUAAUACUAAACAUAUUAUCAGUGGGAGACCGUUACUAAUACUAACACUUUACUUUAUGUAAUUACUAACCAUUAACAAAAAUGGACCCUUGGUAAUACUAAACAUAUUAUCAGUGGGAGACCGUUACUAAUACUAACACUUUACUUUAUGAAUUUAUUUUACCGCACAUUUACAUUUAUUUUAAAGGGUGGUGCGGGUUUAUCGUCCACGCCUUUGCUUUUAUUUAAAUGUAUGGAGUAGAAUUAGUGCCCAUACAAGCACACUUACUUUACCGCACAUUUAAGGUAUGGUGCGGAAUUAACGUCCAUACAGCAAGCAAUUUAAUUCAUGAUUUUAUUUUUAUCAUCAAUUAAUAUACCUGAAUAAUGAAAUUCCUAUUAAUAAGUGGCUUAAUAUCUCAGAUCUCGAACCUAAAAUUUUGGACAGCAAAUUCAUGACACUUUAUCAUCAAUUAAUAUACCUGAAUAAUGAAAUUCCUAUUAAUAAGUGGCUUAAUGUUCCAGAUCUCGAGCCUAAAGUUUCAGAUGGCAAAUUUGGCAAAACUGGAGUUUGCUGCCUUGGACCUUUCCGGGGACAACUUUUUAUCAUGGGUCCUGGAUGCCAAAAUUCAUCUACGAGCCAAUGGCCUCGGACAAACAAUUGUAGAUGAGAAUGAUGCUUCGCCUGAAGAGAAUGCGAAGGCCAUGAUCUUUCUUCGCCGCCACAUCCAUGAAGCGCUGAAAAGCGAAUAUGUGGUGGUUGAUGAACCGUUGGUUCUGUGGAAAGCUCUAGGUGAAAGAUACGAUCACCAGAAGACGAUGACUCUCCCAAGAGCUAGAUACGAAUGGACCCACUUGAGAUUUCAAGAUUACAAGUCAGUGUCCGAGUAUAACUCUGCUAUGCAUAGAAUUACCUCAUUAAUGAGGCUAUGUGGGGAAAAUAUAUCUGAGGAGGAUAUGCUCGAAAAAACUCUGAGCACUUUUCAUGCUUCAAAUGUCCUCCUUCAACAGCAAUACAGACAUAGCGGUUUCAAGAGAUACUCGGAACUUGUAUCUUGCCUCUUGUUAGCUGAGCAGAAUAAUGAGCUCUUAUUAAAGAAUCACCAAUCUCGCCCAACGGGCUCAGCACCACUUCCUGAAAUAAAUGCUGCAUCUCAGGAAGUGAAUGCCACUUCAUCUCGUGGUAAUAUCCAUAAACGUGGGCGAUGGGGCAAGCGUGGCCACUGGCAAGGAAGUAGAAAAAAUCAUGGCGCUCGUUUAGAGGGUUUAGGACCAAGGAGUGGUCCAUCCACGAAUGGCAAAUAUGCAUCCCGUAAUAAGGGAAAGGCACAGAUGAGUCAUGUGCCUAGAAAUGUUGAAAGCCCUUGCCACAGAUGUGGAGCAAAGGGACAUUGGGUGCGCACUUGUCGUACGCCCAGGCAUUUGGCGGAUCUCUAUCAAGCUUCACUUAAGAACAGGAAAGUGGAGAUAAAUUACAUUGAUCAUGCUCCGCCAGCCACAGAUGGCUCAUCAGAAAUAUCACGUCAGCAAAACAAGACGCAUCUAGAUGUUUCUGAUUUUGUUACUAAAAGAGGGAAUGAAGGUUAUGAGUCCGAAUUAGAUUAAAUCCCUUAAUGUACUAUUUGUAUUAGCUGUACUAUUUGUAUUAGCUGAAGGGUUGUUUAAAUUUCAAUCCAAUAAAAGUUGUAAUGUUGUCUUCUUUUUGAUCCCAGCUUAUUUUACUUAUUUGGUGGCAUGGAUGUAAAUUAUGGAUGCCCUCAAAACAAAGGCUAUAGCAGAGAUAUUUGUCUCGCAGACAGCGCAACUACUCAUACGAUCCUUCAAGAUCGGAAGUAUUUCUCAAAAUUAAUGCUUACAAAAGCAAAGGUAACAACCAUAUCAGGUCCUGCAAAUCUGAUUGAAGGUUUAGGAAGAGCCCAAAUUAUGUUACCAAAUGGAACAAUACUGUCCAUUCCAGAUGCUUUGUAUUCAUCUAACUCCAGAAGGAAUCUGUUGAGUUUCAAAGAUAUACGUUUGAAUGGCUACCAUGUUGAAACAAAGAUAGAGGAAAACAUGGAAUAUCUUUGUAUUACCUCCAGUGAUACCCAAAAGCGUAUACUGGAGAAGCUUUGUGAGCUCUCAUCAGGGUUGUAUUACACAACCAUACGGACAAUUGAGGCACAUAGUGUCAUGGACCAAGAGUCCACUGGCUCAAAUGCUUUUAAGCUUUGGCAUGACAGGUUGGGUCAUCCUGGAUCCACCAUGAUGCGCAGGAUCAUCACCAACUCUAAAGGACAUCCCUUAUUAACUAAACACAUUAUGUUAUCAAGUGACAUCUUUUGCCAAGCUUGUUCACAAGGGAAGUUGGUGAUCAGACCAUCACAACCAAAGGUUGAUGUUGAGUCUCCAUCAUUUUUGCAAAGAAUUCAAGGGGACAUUUGUGGACCUAUUCACCCCCCAUGUGGACCAUUUCGGUACUUUAUGGUCUUGGUGGACGCAUCUACCCGAUGGUCACAUGUUUGUCUUUUAUCUACUCGGAACAUGGCAUUUGCUAGGCUUUUGGCUCAGAUAAUUAAAUUACGAGCUCAAUUCCCAGAUUAUCCCAUUAAGUCAAUCAGACUCGAUAAUGCUGGUGAAUUUACAUCUCAGACUUUUGAUGACUACUGCAUGUCACUAGGCAUAGAUAUUGAACAUCCUGUUCCCCAUGUGCAUACUCAAAAUGGCUUGGCAGAAGCUUUAAUUAAACGCCUUCAAUUGAUAGCACGCACUUUGCUAAUGAAAACAAAGUUGCCAGUUUCUGCUUGGGGAUAUGCCAUUUUACAUGCAGCAUCACUUGUGCGAUUAAGGCCCGUUGCCAACAAUCAAUGUUCUCCCAUACAACUCGUAUUAGGAAAUCAACCAAACAUUUCACAUUUAAGAAUUUUUGGGUGUACAGUAUAUGUGCCCAUUGCACCACCACAACGUACUAAGAUGGGCCCUCAACGCAGAUUGGGAAUUUAUGUUGGUUUUGAUUCACCAUCUAUCAUCAAAUACUUAGAACCCCUGACGGGUGAUAUUUUUACCGCACGAUUUGCGGAUUGUGAUUUUGAUGAGACAAUCUUCCCACCAUUAGGGGGAGAAAAAUCUGUGUCUAAAGAACAAGGCAAACUCAUUCCUGAAAAACGAUGUGAAUUAUCAUGGAAUGUAUCCACAUUGUCUCAUCUCGAUCCUCAUACUGCUCAAUGCGAAAACGAAGUAAGAAGGAUUGUUCACCUCCAAAGUAUUGCAAAUCAGAUGCCAGAUGCAUUUAAUGAUGCAGCAAAGGUGACAAAAUCUCAUAUCCCAGCUGCAAAUGCACCCGCACGGAUUGAUGUCCAUAAUGGACAAAGCAAUGUGCCAGCAAAUGGUUCAUCUGCUGCACGCCUAAAACGUGGCAGACCACUAGGCUCAAAGGAUUCAGUUCCUCGAAAGAGGAAGUUGAUGGACAAAAUGAAUCCAAAUGAAAUAAAUAGAGAGCCCACAAUUCAUAAUUCAAAUGCCCCUAAAGAGGGACAUGUACUUCUUGACAAGGAAAACGUCAUUGGUGAGACAAGUGCCCCUAAAGUGGCAACCGUACCUGAAAGUCAAGAAAUCUCCAUAAAUUAUACGUCCACUGAUGAAUUGUGGAGUAGAAAUGAGAUGAUCAUCGAUGAUAUAUUUGCAUUCUCAGUGGCUGCUGAAAUCAUAAAAGAUGAUGAUAUUGAACCACGCUCUAUUAAUGAAUGUACACAGAGGCAAGAUUGGCCCAAGUGGAAGGAUGCAAUCCAGGCAGAAUUAAAUUCUUUGGAAAAAAGGAGUGUUUUUGGACAUAUUAGUCCAACUCCACCCAAUGUGAACCCUGUAGGUUACAAGUGGGUAUUUACAAGAAAGCGCAAUGAGAAAAAUGAGAUCUCAAGGUAUAAAGCGCGACUCGUUGCGCAAGGUUUUUCACAAAGGCCUGGAAUUGAUUAUGUGGAAACGUACUCUCCAGUAAUGGACACAAUUACAUUCCGUUACCUAAUAAGUUUGGCGGUUUCAGAAAAACUUGAAAUGAGACUCAUGGAUGUUAUUACCGCAUAUUUGUAUGGAGAAUUGGAUACAGAUAUAUACAUGAAAGUUCCAGAAGGAUUCAGGUUGCCUGAAGCAGCCAGAAACACACCACGGGGCAUGUUCUCAGUUAAAUUGAGAAGAUCAUUAUAUGGGCUAAAAUAAUCUGGACGAAUGUGGUACAAUCGUCUCAGUAAGUAUUUACUGAAGGAAGGAUACACAAAUGAUCCUGUUUGCCCAUGUGUGUUUAUUAAGAAAUCAAAGUCUGGAUUUGCGAUAGUGGCAGUAUAUGUCGACGACAUGAAUCUAAUUGGAACUUCUGCAGAGCUUCAAAAGACUGUUGAUUAUCUCAAACGUGAGUUUGAGAUGAAGGAUCUUGGAAAGACAAAAUAUUGUCUUGGCUUGCAGAUUGAGCACAGUGCUAAUGGAAUUUUGGUGCAUCAAUCAACUUAUACUGAGAAAGUAUUGAAACGGUUUGGCAUGGAUAAAGCCCAUCCACUUAGCACUCCAAUGGUCGUUCGAUCGCUUGACACUAAGAAAGACCCAUAUCGUCCAAAAGGGAAUGAUGAAAUGGUCCUUGGUCCAGAAGUACCAUAUCUUAGUGCAAUAGGUGCUUUAUUGUACCUCGCACAAUGUACCAGACCAGACAUAUCAUUCUCAGUAAAUCUGUUAGCAAGGUACAGUUCUGCUCCAACAAGGCGACACUGGACCGGCAUCAAACAUGUUCUACGAUACCUUCGUGGGACAACAGACAUGGGGUUAUUCUAUUCCAGUGAAUCGACCAACGCCCAGAGUAUUAUUGGUUAUGCUGAUGCAGGAUAUCUCUCUGAUCCACAUCAAGGACGAUCACAGACUGGGUAUGUAUUUACAUGUGGAGGAACUGCGAUCGCAUGGCGUUCAACAAAACAAACAUUAGUGGCCACAUCUUCCAAUCACUCGGAAAUACUUGCCCUCCAUGAAGCCAGUCGUGAAUGCGUUUGGUUAAGAUCGGUAAUCCAUCACAUCCGAAGCACAUGUGCCCUACCCUCAACAACAGACACUCCAACAAUUCUGAAUGAGGACAAUGCCGCUUGUAUUGCUCAGAUUACAGGAGGAUAUAUCAAGGGUGACAGGACCAAACACAUAUCACCAAAGUUUUUCUAUACACAUGAGCUCCAGAAGAGUCAAGAAAUCAAAGUCAGACAAAUCCGCUCAAGUGAUAACCUGGCAGAUCUCUUCACUAAAUCAUUGCCGAAAUAUACAUUCCAAAAGUUAGUACAUGGCAUCGGAUUACGACAACUCUGCAAGCAAUCAAGUUGGAGCAUGCAAAAUCAGGGGGAGCAUUCAAGAGUCCUCUAACAUAGGACAUAUGCACGUUGUACUCUUUUUCCUUUGCUUAGAUUUUCCCACUGGGUUUUUCCAAGCAAGGUUUUAAUGAGGCAACCAAUCUAGGGUCAUGUGGUCUCCAAGGGGGAGUGUUAUAAAAGUCUUGAAAUGGAGCCCACACAUACUGUUCAUUACUGUACAUUACUGUUCAUCACUGUUCAUUUGACGGCUUUGAUACUGUUCAUUCUGUCACGGGUGAACAGUGAUGAAUAGUGAUGAAUAGUGAUUAUUUCAGCCUAUAAAUAAGAAGAGAAACGGAAAGAAGAAGAAGAAGAGAAACGGAAAGAAGAAGAAGAAGAAAAAAGGAGAAAGGAAGAGAAGGAAGAAAGAGGAAAGAGAGAGCAGAGAGAAAUUCUCCUAGAGAGAAAAUUCAGUGAGCCACAUAUAUUGUAAACACUAAACUUGUAGCUCUAUCCUUUUACAUAGUGGAAAAGUUACUGCUGCUGCUCUCCGAGGACGUAGGCAUAGCCGAACCUCGUUAAAUGCUGUGUCUCAUCUACUUUACGUGCAGCUCAGAAUUAUCGCACAUAUCCCAGGUUAUUUUUAUAACACUUACAUGAUAAUGAAACACCAUUAGGGGUUAAAAGCACAAGGAAAUAGUAUUCUCCACUUUCCAACCAUUAUUGAUUUUUGGUAGAUGAGCGCUUAUUACUACUUGCCUACUUCAUGAGACAAUUUUGAGUUGCAAGAGGAUUGCCAACCCUACAAACAAGAACAAAACCGCUAUGAAUCUGGACUAAGAGAUCCUACAUAAGGGUGCAGCUUUUGUACCAUUUUUACUGGUUGCUUAGUUGACCACCUUUCUAAUACAUGUGGGUCCCAUAUAAGUUAGUAAAAGUGACACAAAUAGCAUUAUUCAUACUAAAGAGGGGAUCGAGAAGUGCUCAAGUAGGAGGAUAAAUGAUAUUUCACUUAACAAGAAUUGGAAGUGCUUUUAGCUAACGAAAAAACCCUUAAUGAGUAAAAGCGCUUCUCACAUAAGCACUUACAAGUGAGCCUAUAUUCAAUACCAACUCUCUUAAUCUAGUGAUAAUUUCUGAAUAUUAAAAUAGGUCUUGAGUUCAAAUCUCCCUUCAAUCAUUUUGUAGUUGGUAUCUUUAUGCUUGGGUCAGUCUUGUUAUGGAAAAUGGUGAAAUUGGGCUCCUUUCUUUUCUUCUUGGGUACACAAGUUUGGCCCAAUUCCCUUCCAAAUCCAACCACGUAGUGGUCCGAAUGACCCGAAAUCGGAGGCGGGAGCCUCUCUUCUCUCACUCACCCCUACCACCACUUUCUGCAGCAUGGCGUCGCCGUCCUGCUUCGAAACGCCGUCGUCUGCCCCUUCUUCUUCUUCAAAACUAGAGUGGGGCGAGAAGGUCUCGGACAAGGUGUUCUCACUCUACAACUCUCUUCCCAAGAAAGGCAAGCCUCAGGGUCGCGAAGUCACCGUCUUGGCCGCUUUCCUCGUUUCCUCUCCUUCUCAAGGUCCUACUUUCCUUCUUUCUUUCUUUUCUAAAUUUGAUUUUCCUGCACUUUCCUGGAAAGCAAACAGUGUUCUUAACACUUUCAAUUGUUCAGAAUUGGAAGUUGUCGCGUUGGGAACUGGGACCAAAUGUCUUGGGAGUUCACUCUUGAGCUCCAACGGUGAUGUCGUCAAUGAUUCCCACGCCGAGAUUAUAGCUCGAAGAUCUUUACUGAGGUUUUUAUUUGUUGUUAUAUAUUCAUUUCAUUAGCAAAUUUAAUUUGUUUAGCUGCUAAUACAAGAUUUUAAUAAAUAAAAAGUUGCUAAUUUACGAGUGCUAUGCUUCAUGUGGCAUGAAAUGCAUCCAAAUUAAGUGUGCUUAGCUGAAAAGUACCAAUUUUUUUGGUGGGGAUUUGCAUUUAUUACCUAUAUGUAUCUCUGCCUUACAUUUUUAGUGUAUGGUACUUAUUGGUAUACUUGGCUUCUCUGGCACUAGGUUCUUCUAUGCACAGAUUCAGUGUCUUACUCAAGUUUAUAGUAAGCAAAGUGAUAGCAAUGGAAGCACACAAAUGCAAAAUGGUGAUGCCAAAAACUUGCUUUUUGAAUUGGACCCUAAUGGUGAUGGCCAAGGAAAAUACAAACUGAGGAAGGGUUUGCAAUUACACUUGUACAUAUCACAACUACCAUGUCAGUUCUUGUUCAUAUCCAAGAAAAGAGAGUCCUUUUUUCUUCGGUUUUUGCCCUCCUUAGAUCUUUAUAUCUAUAUCAGGACAAACCAAGACUGCAAUUAUACUUAUUCUUCUUUCUUGCAGGUGGGGUUGCAUCUCCGAGUUCACUGUUGUCUCCCCCAAAAAACAUCUCACCAACAGAACGGGGUUCAUCUUUGGACGAGCUUAAUGUUUCAAUAAAUGAAGAGGCUCUGCCAAAUACUAAUGGUAAUGGGAUUUUGUACUUGUCCUCUUCUUUGUUCUAUAUUUGCUAAAAAUUUAUGUUUCCAUUUUUCACCUUAAUGUGAUGGGUUGAAUAUUUUUCUAGUGAACGUUGGCAGCUUCUUUUUGAGAAAAGAAUCAUUACUCUUGACAUGAUAUUUGAGUCAUGUAGCAUCUGUAUGUUACCUUAUUUUCAGGUGAUGCUUCACAACUAAUUGGCUCGGUUCAAAGAAAGCCUGGUCGUGGUGAUACGACUUUAUCAGUUAGUUGCUCUGACAAGAUGGCUCGUUGGAAUGUGGUUGGAGUUCAAGGUUUGUCAUUUGACCUAUCAUGUACCCAAGAUAGGGCUUCAUUCAGCCAAUCUUGGAUAUGGAAACUCUGGUCUAAAUACAUACCUGGCUUCUUUUGGUCAGGCAUCCUUGAAUGUUUGAUGGUGUACCUAGACUGAGCCAGUUUGACUAAUCUUCGUGAUUAUAUUGACCGUACUUGGUUACGUGGGCAUUACUAGUUAUAAGUUAGUUGAUGAGGUCAUACAUAUUCUUAUUUCAGGAUCUCUGCUUUCAUUCUUUCUGCAACCUGUUUACCUUUCUUCCAUUACUGUUGGACAGUCGCCUCGCGGCUCUGAAAUGGUUCUUGUUGUUGAUUGCUUGAAACAAGCGCUGCAUGAUCGCAUUCUACCAUUGUCAAAUGAGCUAAUGAGUCCCUUUCAAGUGAACCAGGUCUGUGAAGUGUGUACUCUGUGAUAUUGCAUUGGAGAUGGUUAUUAUAAAUGCAUAUAUUAAUGCUACUGGCAGCCACUAAUAUUGGCAGCUCCAAUGCCACCAAGGGAAUUUCAGCAUUCCGAGACUGCUUUGACCACUUUAACAUGCGGGUACUUGUUAUUUAAUUCUGACAGUUCUACAUAUAAAGUGACUGUGUAUUGUUUGGUUACUACUGAUUCCUUAAUGCUUUGAUUCACAGGUAUUCAAUUUGUUGGAAUAAGGCUGGUUUGCACGAAGUCAUUCUUGGAACCACUGGAAGAAAGCAAGGCACUGCUGCCAAAGGAGCACAUUAUCCGUCUACUGAGUCAUCUUUAUGCAAGUAGGGUGAUAAGUAUGCUCCAACUUUUAUUUAGAAAUGCAUUUUAUUACAAUUUUGUCAUAUUGUUUUUAUUGUUUGACAGAAAGCGGCUGUUGCAGAUUUUCUUGUCCCUAAGACAUGAAUGCCCUGUCAAAAUCCCAGUUAAUCAGAUUUCGUAUCGAGAAAUCAAGGUAGUCAAUAUUAUAGAUACUGAUUUUGUAGACAACUUUUGGUCAAAUUCUAUUUAUCUAGCUAAUAAGGUAAUUUUGGGAUUUGGUUUACAAUGUGUUGACUAGAGUUCAUGACAGUAAAUUAUGCACCCGCUAAGUUGUGCAAGUGGUUUAUAUUUUGGAAGUAUAAGAGGUCUUUGUGCUUUGAUUGACAAAAAAUGCUUCAAAACUAUGUGUAGGUAUUGUGGUUUAUGUGUAAAUGAAAGCUUUUUCGUUGCAUUUUUUUAGUACAAGCAGUGUCUUGUGUAGUAUCAAAUAUCUGUAGAUUUAGCUUCUGCUCAAUAUCUGCUGGUACAAAAUUUAUGGAUUAGUUAUGUAACUACUGGUUCUUAAUUCACUAUCAGCAAGGUGUCAACUGGAUAUGACUUUUCAUCUAUUAGCUAAUUUCACCUGGUUACCUUAUGCAGGAAAUGGCGCAGGAAUUCAAUUUAACCUCAAAAAUUCUAAAAAGAAGACCUCCCUUUAGUAAUUGGCCUUUGAAACUCCCACAUUUUGAGGCAUUCUCUGCCAUGAUAUAGUGAGGCCAGUGGAUACUCAGAGUGAAUACUCUUGUCUGUGCAUAUUAUGAUCUUCAUUGUGAAAUUAAUAUGGUAAUCGAGUAAUACUUUGCACUAAUUAUUUAGAGCUUUUCAGUAUAUCAAUGUGGUUCGACAAGGACAGUUCCUCCAGCUUCAAGGAUAUAAUAUAAAUGGAAGGGUCUGUGUUGGUCUAACAAGGGAACGUGCAUUGCUUCACCUGUCGGCUGUCAAUGCUUUAAAACGCACCUUUCAGCAUAUCAUCUCUUCAUGAAACAAGCUGGUAGGAGAUUCACAGUUAAUGUUUCGGUUCAGUUUGCUAACUAGCAGCAGCUGCACGGGUUCUUUGUCUCCAAUUAUGAGUUCCUAAGGGGGCAAGCAAAGGAAGCAAGGAAUUUUGCACACUGCAUUAACGUAAUCUGUGGCAAGCAGGCCACAUGGUUUACUCACAUUGAAUUCAAUGGAUUAUUUUGCAGGUUACGUACGACUUACUCUGAGCUUCAUAAGUCAUUUAACUUUGAUAAUUCGUUGACUUACUAUUAAGCAACUAAUCCGUCCCACACGGCAAUUGUUGUGGCCAUGAGCCUAAUUUCGUCCUCAACCUAUCUAGACUGUACACUGACUGUACAGAAGUUUCACCCAUUAGCAAUAACUUACAAAAGUGAUGUGGGGUCCACUACUAGUUGUGCGUCCCACAUGCCGGCGAGUCUGUUUAUGGGAGCAUCUCACAUGUGCUUCUUCAUAUAUAAUCACUCCAAAACGAGCUCUUAGUCAGAUUGUACGAACCAUGAAAGCUUAACUGUAAAAAAGUCGCAUUAAAAAGGGUAAAACUCAAUCACGUUUUCCCUUCAUCUUCUUCAUUUCACGUUAGAGAGCAAGCAUAUUGCAUAAACACAGUGAUCGAUUAUUUGAAUGGAAGCAAGCAACUGUUACACUACUGUCCUACCAAAAUAAAUAAAUAAUUGAGGAAGCAAAGAAUGCAUGCAACUCAUUAGCUCAUCACAUCGUUUUCCCUUCCCCUUUAAGCAAGCACGUUACAACUCAAUCUCAUUUCUCUGAAAAAUAAAUAAAUAAAAGCCAGAGAGUCACUAAGUCAAAGUAAACGAUGUGAUUAAUUAGUUUUCUACUUAAACUUCAAAUUGUAGUCAUUGCACCAUGUUUGAGUAAAUCGAGUAAUUUGUCAUGGUAACCAUAUUUUGACCUUUUAAAAAAAUAUUAUAUUUUAAAUACAUUCAAGUAUAUGAACACGAUUGAGUUUGUCAAAAGAAUUAAAUUUUCCAUUGACUUGGCAAUUUUGUAUUUAAAUGAUCAAUGACUUUCUUUCUCCCCAAGCUCAAAACUAGUGCAAAUUGUCCAAGCAGGUCAACUAAAGCAACCUUACUUAGUGCCUAAUCCUUCGACUUGGUUUAAAAAGACUAUCGGAAAUCUAGAGGAGAAAAAUUGAUCGCUUUCGUCAAUAUUACUCAAUAUUGAGUAAUGCAAGAAAAAUCAUAUUUGUUGUAAGUUUAAUACAGGUAGGACCUAUUUUUAUAUAAGAAUAUGGUCAUACCAUAUUUAUUGGUAGAUAACUUUUGGGCACAUUACUCUUUCUAACAUAAAUAAAAAGACAAACAGCCCUCUACCGUGAUAAAUUUACCUUCAUUCAGUUGUUGUACUUGUCUACAAUAUACAAAGGUACCCCAUUUGGGCCAUUUCCAAUAUUUGAUGCAACACGCAAACCUUGUCGACGAGUGAUUAUAGAAUAUUACAGUAGUACGGUCAUGUGUUACAUCUUAUACACAUAUUAUAAUAUCACGUGAACAAGAUAUAACACGUGGUUAUAUUAUCGUAGUAUUCUUUUAUUUCUCCUUGUCGACAUAACCCUGUCCUCUGUUGUUGGCAUCCUAGAUAAAGAUGGACUUCCAUUUGAGCAAUGCUGGAAUGUUUUGGACGCUCUAUGGGUUUUCUGAAGCAACUUUUUUUUUUGGUUUCACAUUCCACUUUGUAGUCCUCUUCUGUUUGAUGUUAUUACUUUUAUCAGUUUCCGCUUGUAUAGUCCCCAGUUCACUGGACUCUUGCUCUGUUGUACUUUGGCAAUGCCUUGAGUGCUCUGAUUGAAUGUUAUACCAGUUUCGUCCAAAACACGCAACACUUGGCCAAUUUGGCUCCUUGUUAGGUCAAGACCUAGACUUGGACACUUUUUCUCUUCUUUUAUAGAGCAAAUGGAGGCAUAAAAACGUGAACUAAAGCCUUUCAAAGUAAGAAACCACACAUUCCACGAAUGCCUAACUUCAAAGACCCGUUUGGUUGAAGUCCACAUAGACUGUAUACAGCAUAGAAAGCAUUACCGGACAGGACAGCAGGGCUAUCUCAUCUCAAGGUCUCUUGGAAGAGAGCUUUGAAGCAUAAACAUGAAAAGGAACAAUGCCAAGCAUAUGUGUGAUUUCUUGGAUGGGACAGGAUUGCAUAGGCAUAUUGCAGGAACAAGUUGGAGGCCAUUGAAGAAAAGAACUGCAACAACUACUUUAAUCUUCUUGUUAUUGUUGUUGAUCUUCUUUGUUGCUGCGUUGGUAUCUGCAGGCUGGAUCGAUGCUGUAAGUUCCAUGAACUCCAAUCGUGCUAGCUAUAUAUAAAGAUAUAACAUAGGCAUUCUAUCUUCUUUCAUAGUGUUUUUGUGUGUGUUUUGUUUUGUUUUGUUUUUUUUCAGAGUAAAACUAAUAGGACCAAGAUUUCAAAAACUAGAAAUAUUUGAAUGGGGUUUUCCAGUCACCUUAUUCACGAUCUCUCUAACUAAGGUGAAACUUAUGUCUCUUAGUUCCAACCCUAUCAGAUCGGUGGUCAGAUUGUUUUCUUUUAGCUUGAAGGAGAGUGUGCUUGCAUUAGAUGUGAGGGAGAGCGAGAGUCAAAUUUUCGUGACAAGUAUGGGGUAUGUGAGCAACUAAUUAAGUGAGAAUGGCCUAAGAAAGUGUAUACUAAACUGAUAUUACUAAGAAACGAAAUAUUAGUUAUCAAAAAAGGAAUACAAAGAAAAUUUAUUGAAAUACAAAUCAUAUAUAGCUUUUCAUUGCAUGGAAAAGUUAUUUGUAUCAAAAUCUCUCCUUUGAUACUAACGUAUACAAUUCAUGUUUUUCUCUCUUAGUUUAUAUUUUCAGGCGCUACAACAACCACAAACACAAGCACACCCAAGAGACCUGAAUUCCCACUGCAGUGUACCGAAGGAAUUAAUGUGACACAAGGUUGUCCAAGAACCUACCCUACCAGACACGACCCCACAAAUCCUAGCCGUCCAUCCAAUCUCACAUGCCCAUCAUACUUCCGAUGGAUCCACGAAGAUCUACGUCCAUGGAAAGAGACAGGAAUCACGAGGGACAUGAUAGAGCGGGCUCGCAGGACUGCACAUUUUAGGCUCUUGAUCGUGGAUGGCAAGGCUUACAUAGAGAAGUAUAGAGAAUCCAUACAAACUAGGGAUAUGUUUACGUUAUGGGGCAUUUUGCAGCUUCUAAGGGUGUAUCCCGGCAGAUUGCCUGACUUGGAGCUCAUGUUUGACUGUGAUGAUCGGCCCGUUGUCCGAUCAAAGGACUUUCGGAGCCCGAAUGCUGGCCCGCCACCAUUGUUUCGAUACUGCUCGGACGAGGGGAGCUUGGAUAUUGUGUUCCCAGAUUGGUCUUUUUGGGGCUGGUAAAUAUUUUCUUCUGUCUUACUCAUACAUGUUAUGUUUGCAUGUGAAAUGCCCUUUGUUUUUAUUCCUUUGUUUACUUUAGGAACCAUGUGUUACAUAAGAAUUGUAUAAAUAACCAAUUUCUAACCCAUUUGAAAAGCAAAGAAUAAAAAAACUCUUUUCAUAAGAUGUGUGACCCAAAACCCUUUUCAUCUCCACUAACUUUGGCCCAAACAUUUGAAUUGGGUGAACAAAAAAAAGAAGAGAUUUUAGAGGAGAAAUUAAUUUUAGUAAUGAAAUUUGUAGAUGGGCUAAUUUUAAUUUUGGUAGGGCUGAGACCAAUAUAAAACCAUGGAGAAGCCUAUUGCCAAGCAUAAAAGAAGGCAAUAAAAGAACAAAGUGGAAGGACAGGGUGCCAUAUGCUUAUUGGAAAGGUAACCCAAAUGUGGCUCCAACCAGAAAGGACCUUCUCAAAUGCAAUGUCUCAGACAAAAAUGACUGGAACACACGCCUGUAUAUUCAGGUGCAUCAACUUCUCUAACUAUUAUUAUGUAUAAAAAUGCAAUUUUUUAUGUAUUCAUUUGUGCAAUGAUUUGAUCUUCUAUUUCCAGAAUUGGGAGCAAGAAUCUAAACAAGGGUACAAGGAUUCAAACCUAGAAAACCAGUGCAAGCACAGGUAGUUUUUGCAAUUUUUUUUGUUCUUGUUUUUGAAAUUACAUUUUACAAAUUCAAAAUUUCCUUUGUUUUCUUUGUUUAUGCAUAGAGAUUUGGUUUUUACAGGUACAAAAUUUAUAUAGAAGGAUGGGCAUGGUCUGUAAGUGAAAAAUACAUCAUGGCAUGUGAUGCUAUGACCUUGUAUGUAAGGCCUCGCUAUUACGAUUUCUUCAUGAGAGGCAUGGAGCCAUUGCAGCACUUUUGGCCUAUUAGGGACAACAGCAAAUGCACUUCUCUCAAGUUUGCUGUGGAAUGGGGCAAUAAUCACAAAGACAAGGUUAGAACUUUAGCUGGAUGCCAAUUUUUUAUUUUUAUUUUUUGUUAAACAGUGUGACAUGUUAUGUUGUUAGACUUUGAAUUUCAACUGCACAUUCAAAUGAUUAACAUUUAGUAUCUCGUGAAUAUGGCAGGCGAAGGCGAUUGGGGAGGCUGCGAGCAACUUCAUACAAGAAGAUCUAAAGAUGGACUAUGUGUAUGAUUACAUGUUUCAUGUGCUAAAUGAAUAUGCAAAGCUCUUGAAAUUCAAACCAACUAUACCUUCCAAUGCAGUGGAACUGUGCUCAGAAAAAAUGGCAUGCCAUGCAACUGGUACGUGGAAGAAGUUCAUGGUGGAGUCUAUGGUGGAGCAUCCUACUGAUGAACUCCCAUGCACUCUGCCUCCUCCAUAUGAUCCUCCGG